GCAGGGAUAGUUUAUUUGGUAGAGCAUGAGACUCUUAAUCUCAAGGUCAAGGGUUCAAGCCCCACAUUGGGCA
Podarcis lilfordi (Lilford's wall lizard) is the source of this 73-nucleotide non-coding RNA. Lineage: Eukaryota; Metazoa; Chordata; Lepidosauria; Squamata; Lacertidae. The record is from the annotation of a GenBank genome assembly.